GGCUUCGGUCUGGUGAGAGUGGCGAACGGGUGAGUAACGCGUGGGAACCUGCCCAGAGGUACGGAAUAACAGUUGGAAACGACUGCUAAUACCGUAUGAGCCCGAGAGGGGAAAGAUUUAUCGCCUUUGGAGGGGCCCGCGUCAGAUUAGGUAGUUGGUGGGGUAACGGCCUACCAAGCCGACGAUCUGUAGCUGGUCUUAGAGGAUGAUCAGCCACACUGGGACUGAGAUACGGCCCAGACUCCUACGGGAGGCAGCAGUGGGGAAUAUUGGACAAUGGGGGCAACCCUGAUCCAGCAAUGCCGCGUGAGUGAUGAAGGCCUUCGGGUUGUAAAGCUCUUUUGCCAGGGACGAUGAUGACGGUACCUGGAGAAUAAGCCCCGGCUAACUUCGUGCCAGCAGCCGCGGUAAUACGAAGGGGGCUAGCGUUGUUCGGAAUUACUGGGCGUAAAGGGCGCGUAGGCGGUCUGAUUAGUCAGAUGUGAAAUUCCCGGGCUUAACCUGGGCGCUGCAUUUGAUACUGUCAGGCUUGAAUUCAGGAGAGGAUAGCGGAAUUCCCAGUGUAGAGGUGAAAUUCGUAGAUAUUGGGAAGAACACCGGUGGCGAAGGCGGCUAUCUGGACUGACAUGACGCUGA
RNAcentral lists this ribosomal RNA (636 nucleotides) under Dongia sp. Its description in RNAcentral is "bacterial SSU rRNA". It matches the Rfam family "Bacterial small subunit ribosomal RNA", at positions 76 to 749 of the family's 1533-position model. Lineage: Bacteria; Pseudomonadati; Pseudomonadota; Alphaproteobacteria; Rhodospirillales; Dongiaceae. The record is from RNAcentral.